UAGUCCACGCCGUAAACGAUGAUUACUCGCUGUAGGCGAUACACAGUCUGUGGCUAAGCGAAAGUUUUAAGUAAUCCACCUGGGGAGUACGAUCGCAAGAUUGAAACUCAAAGAAAUUGACGGGGGCCCGCACAAGCGGUGGAGCAUGUGGUUUAAUUCGAUGAUACGCGAGGAACCUUACCAGGGCUUAAAUGUAAGUUGCAUUAGCUAGAGAUAGUUAUUUCUUCGGACUACUUACAAGGUGCUGCAUGGUUGUCGUCAGCUCGUGCCGUGAGGUGUCAGGUUAAGUCCUAUAACGAGCGCAACCCCUGUUGUUAGUUGCCAGCGAUUCAAGUCGGGAACUCUAACAAGACUGCCAGUGCAAACUGUGAGGAAGGUGGGGAUGACGUCAAAUCAUCACGGCCCUUACGUCCUGGGCUACACACGUGCUACAAUGGUAGGGACAGAGAGCAGCCACUUCGCGAGAAGGAGCGAAUCUAUAAACCCUAUCACAGUUCGGAUCGG
RNAcentral lists this ribosomal RNA (504 nucleotides) under uncultured bacterium. RNAcentral's name for it is "bacterial SSU rRNA". It matches the Rfam family "Bacterial small subunit ribosomal RNA", at positions 791 to 1301 of the family's 1533-position model. The record is from RNAcentral.